Carya illinoinensis is the source of this 5468-nucleotide RNA transcript. It is a transcript of the gene named ethylene-insensitive protein 2-like, with no coding region annotated. The transcript has 9 exons. Lineage: Eukaryota; Viridiplantae; Streptophyta; Magnoliopsida; Fagales; Juglandaceae. The record is from RefSeq and is a predicted model, not a curated record.
GGAGGAGGAGGAAAUAAAGGAAAGAAAAAAAGUAACUCAGCUAUAAAUGAAAAAAAAAGUAGAGGAAACGUUAACUGUCUUUUGGAGCUUUCUAGCUUUUACUAUAUUUUGUUGAAACUUUUGCCCACCUCAUACACACACCCUCUCUCUUUCUGCUUUCGCUCUCUUCAAGUUGGCCUUGAAAGCCCACCCAUUUUUUCUUCUCUCUCUCUCUCGAAGUCACUCCCCCAGAGAGUUGAGCUUCUCUCUCUUUGUAUGCAAAAUAUAUGAAUAAAAUAACCAAACCGUGGGGUCGUAUAAGAGCGUCUGAGAUCUACUUGUAGGACUAGAUCAGAUAGGGAUUGGCAGAGUAAGGAAAAGCGAGAGCACGCACGCACAGGAGAAGAAGAAGGAUUAGACCUAAUCAAGGUUCAUGAAGAAAGGCGAUUCCAUUUGACAGAGUUUGCCCUGUGGAAGUCAGUUGGGUGUUGAGAUUGUCUUGGUUGGCAUCCAAGUGGAUUUUGUUAAAAGCAUCAUUUUGGUAUCUAAAGACUGCGGCAAGUAUUGGAAAUUUAUUAUCAUCGCAGCUGCACUUUUAAGCUAUUUUGUUUGACUCAAGUGAGUUGUAUUAUAGGGCCUGAAAGACUCAAACUCAUCUAGGUCAUCAUUGGAUGCUAUAACAUUUUUUUGAUAAGGAAUGCUAUAACCUUUUCUUGAAGUUCUUUGGAUAUGUUGGAUUAGACUUGAGGUUAACUGUGGUUAAGCAUUGUUGAUCCCAGAAAUUGCAAUGUCUCAGUAAUUGAAUUUUGAACGUUGUACGUUCCCUCUUGCAAACAAGGUUGGAAGCCAUGUGAUUUAUAAGUUUACACUCAACUGGAGGUCCCUUCUGUUGCUCAGAAGCGCUAUUUAAAUAUUGUAGUGGACUGGUACCUCUGUUUUGUUUGAAGUACCGAUGAAUAACAUGGAAUCUGGGAGUUCUACUUCUAACAAAAUUCUGGGUAGUCUUAAUCAACUACUUCCUGCAGUUGCACCUAUGCUUCUGAUUUCAAUUGGAUAUGUUGACCCUGGAAAGUGGGCAGCAACUAUUGAAGGUGGCGCCCAUUUUGAGUUCGAUUUGGUAGCAUUGAUGCUUGUUUUUAAUCUCUCUGCUAUUUUCUGUCAAUACCUAUCAGCUCGGAUUGGCUUGGUCACCGGAAGAGAUCUUGCUCGGAUUUACUGGGAUGAGUACGAUAAGUUCACAUGCUUCUUCUUGGGAGUCCAAACAGAGCUUUCUGUGAUUGCAUUGGAUCUUACCAUGAUCUUGGGCCUUGCACAUGGACUUAAUCUUCUUUUUGGCUGGGACUUGUUCUCUUGUGUCUUUUUGACUGCUAUCAGUGCUGUUUUAUUUCCACUUUUUACCAUCCUCAUGGAACACAGCAAGGCAAAGUUCCUAUGUAUAUGUCUAUCCGGCUUCAUUUUGCUUUCUGUUGUCCUUGGAGUACUCAUCAGUCAAGCAGAAGUCUCACUGUCCAUGAAUUUGACACUAACAAAGUUAUGUGGGGAGAGUGCAUUUGCAUUGAUGAGUCUUCUUGGGGCAAACAUCAUGCCUCAUAACUUUUUUCUCCAUUCUUCUAUUGUACAGCAACCUAUGUCAUCGCCAAACAUUUCCAAGGAUGCCUUGUGUCAUAAGCAUUUUGUUGCCAUCUUCAGCAUCUUCAGUUGUAUUUAUCUGGUGAAUUAUGUGCUGAUGGUCUCAGCAGCAAAUGUGUUAGACAGUGACGUCUUGCUCACUUUUCAGGACGCAAUGUCACUAAUGGAACAGGUUUUUGCAAGUCCUCUGGCUCCCGCUGCCUAUCUAUUGGUUCUGUUUUUCUCUAAUCUGAUCACAUCAUUUACCUGGAGUCAAUGUGGGCAAGUAGUUUUGCAUGAUUUCUUAAGGCUAGACAUUCCUGGUUGGCUUCAUUGUGCCACAAUCAGACUUAUUGCUGUUGUUCCAGCCCUUUACUGUGUUUGGAGUUCAGGAGCUGAAGGGAUGUAUCAAUUGCUUAUAUUCACUCAGGUGAUGGUAGCUCUACUGCUUCCAUCUUCUGUGAUCCCCCUGUUCCGUGUUGCUGCAUCAAGACCGAUAAUGGGUGUCUACAAAAUUUCUCAUUUUGUUGAGUUUCUAGCAAUCAUCACAUUUAUUGGGAUGCUAGGAUUGAAGGUCAUGUUUAUGGUAGAAAUGAUAUUGGGGAAUAGUGACUGGGCAGUUAAUUUGAGGUGGAACAUGGGGGGUAGUUUAUCUUUUACUUAUUUACUUUUUCUUGUCACUGCUUUUGCAUCCCUUUGUUUGAUGCUCUGGCUAUUAGCCACUCCAUUAAAGUCUGCAAAUGCAAGAUUAGACGCUCAGAUCUCCAACUGGGUUACACCGGAGGCUAUACUUGAUUUGUCCACAGACAGAGAGGAAACUGAUUUAACCGAAACUGGAUAUCAUGGAGAGGCUCCUCUUCUGAAGCAAGAACUGUUGUCAGCACAUGGGAAGAGUCAUUCAGAUAUGCCAGUUGCUAAUUUUGAUCUUGAUUUGCCUGAAACCAUUAUGGAGCCUGAUCAAGAGCUUCUUUUGACUAAUGUGGAGGAAAAUCGCUCUAGUGCAAUACUUUCUAGCUCCCCCAUAUUUGCUCUGGAGGAAUCACCAGCCAUGGUAGAGUCAGUCCCAGUUUCAACUGUUUCUGAUGAGGUUUCUGAUAUUAAGUUGCUGGAUGAUGGGACUGCCAAAAUUGAAUCAAUGGACCCUCUGGAGAAGACUCUGGGUGUUGAGGGAGAGCUACAAACUGAAAAAGAUGAUGAUGAGGGAGACUCCUGGGAGCCUGAGGCAUAUAAAGGGGUUUCUGGGGGCACCCCAUCUUUGACAUCCGAGGGUCCGGGAUCUUUUAGAAGUCUUAGUGGGAAAGGUGAUGAAGGUGGGAGUGGUGCUGGAAGUCUUUCAAGAUUAGCAGGAUUGGGGCGUGCUGCAAGGCGUCAACUAGCGGCAGUUCUUGACGAGUUUUGGGGACAGCUGUAUGAUUUCCAUGGCCAGGCUACUCAAGAAGCAAAGUCUAAGAAACUGGAUGUGUUGCUGGGAGUAGAUUCUAAGUCUGCCUCUUCAUCUCUAAAAGUGGAUACCACUGCAAGGGAGUUUUCUGGAUGCUUCCCAUCUGUGGGAGGCAGGGUAUCUGAUAAUCUAAUUAACUCAAGCUUAUAUGGGUCUCCCAAGCAGCAGAACAUCCAAAGGAGUUUAGAGCCAUCAUAUGGGGUUCAAAGGGGAACUUCCUCGUUAAGGUCCAACCACAUGCAAUUGUUGGAUGCAUAUGUGCAGAAUUCAAGCCGCAAUGUUGCCUUUGGCGAGAGACGCUAUUCUAGUGUGCGCAGUAUACCAUCUUUUGAAAGCUUGGAUAAUCAGCCUGCUACAAUACAUGGUUAUCAGAUUGCAUCCUAUCGAAUGGCUAAAGACAGAAACUCUGAUCACCCAAAUAAUCAGAUGGAGGGGGCAUCCUUGGGUAUUUCUAACUACAGAGACUCAAUUACAUAUGCAUUGGGGCAAAAUAUGCAAAAUGGGUUAAGCUCUGAUCAGGCUUCUGGUUACCAGAACCUGGCAAUAUCCAGAGAAAGUCCAUUGCAUUCAGAAAGACCAUAUUAUGAUCCUCGUUCUUCUGGAGUGGCCGAGAGUGUGGCAAGUUCAGCCAACACGAAGAAGUACCAUAGCUUGCCAGACAUGUCUGGAUUCUCCGUCCCACCUCGGGAUUUGUAUGUACCUGAUAAGAGUACUCAAUGGGACAGUCCCAUUGGAUAUGGAUCCUCUGUUGGCAGAACUGGUUAUCCCAAUUCAGGAUCAAGGGCAGGACAUCCUUUGGCAUUUGAUGAACUCUCUCCAUCAAAAGUUUACAGAGAUGGUUUUACCUCACAGUUGAAUCCUAGUAUAGAUACUGGAUCCCUCUGGUCUAGACAACCUUACGAACAGUUUGGCGUAGCUGACAAAAUUCAUACUGUUGGGAGUGAAGGACUUGGAGGUAGGCUAGGUUCAAUAACUCAAGAAGCUACUUCUAUUGUGGAUUCCGAGGUCAAACUUCUCCAGGGUUUCAGACAUUGCAUUGUAAAGCUACUGAAAUUGGAAGGGUCUGAUUGGCUGUUUGGUCAAAAUGAUGGGGCUGAUGAGGAUCUAAUAGACCGUGUGGCUGCUAGGGAGAGAUUUUUAUAUGAAGCUGAAACUAGAGAGAUAAAUCGGGUAAUUCAUAGGGGUGAGCCUCAGUAUUUGUCUUCUGAGAGAAAGUCUGGUUCUGCAAUGAGGACUAAUGAGGCGAGCUUCAACAACUUUUUGAUUUCUUCUGUUCCUCAUUGUGGGGAGGGCUGUGUUUGGAAAUCAGAUUUGAUAGUAAGCUUUGGGGUGUGGUGCAUCCACCGGAUUCUUGACCUAUCACUCAUGGAAAGCCGGCCAGAGCUGUGGGGGAAAUAUACUUAUGUACUCAACCGUCUUCAGGGGAUCAUAGAUCUUGCAUUUACGAAACCUCGUUCUCCAAUGGUCCCGUGCUUCUGCCUUCAAAUCCCUGUGGCAUUCCCACAGAAGACAAGCCCACCCGUUUCAAAUGGAAUGCUGCCCCCUGCUUCAAAACCAGGCAGGGGGAAAUGUACCACUGCAGGGAUGCUCCUAGAUAUGAUCAAGGAUGUAGAGAUUGCAAUUUCUUGCCGAAAGGGCAGAACAGGAACUGCGGCUGGUGAUGUGGCUUUCCCCAAAGGAAAAGAAAAUCUGGCAUCUGUCCUCAAACGCUACAAGCGUCGAUUAUCCAACAAACCUGUUGGUGCUCACGACAGUUCUGGGCCACGCAAAGUUCUGACAUCUGCUCCAUAUAGCUCAUAGAUUUUUGUCCUUGGUCGUUGGCUUCUAGUGGUUCAGUGAUUGUGGGGCUGCUUGAUUUUGGACAGCAGCUCAUGGUCUGGAUCAGUUGUCCUCAGUUGUUUGAGGUCUCUCUCUCUCUCUCUCUCUCUCUCUCUCUCUCUCUCAAUGUGUAUCAGUGCUGCAAAUUUUAUUCCCAUGUGUGUUAUAUAUACAUAGGAUAAGAAUUGCUGGAUGUGUAAUUGCGGCAGAAUUAAUCAAAAUGGCUAGAAGAAAGUGGCUUCUUGGCUAAAGGUCAAGAAAAGGGUUAUUGGAACAAAGUCAUUAAUCAUUGGUCAAGAACUCAGACCUGGACAUCCUUGAUAGACGGUCCAUCUACCAGCUAGGGUUCCUGACAAAAGGUAGCGUUAAUUUGAUACGUGCUCUUGGUAUCUGUGCAUUUGGCAAAUAAUACGGCACCAAAGAGCUACCAAAGAGUCAAAAGACAUUGCUGCUGUAGGUGCUCAACUGGUGCCAAGUGCAUCUGGUGGAGCCAAGAAGGCCUAACAAAUGUUGCUACAAGCUUUGUUAUUGCUAGUGUCUAGUGUUUCAUGGAAAAUAUGCUCAUUGGUCUAUAUUAUACUCUUAAAAGAACUAAUAAAAAAAAUCUUGCUGAUGGCGCUCA